AUGAGCUGGGGAAUAAACCACAGCACGAGUGAGUAUUUGAAAGCCAUCUGCAUUCACGUGGGCCCACGGAGCAGAGCCCGGAUUAGAAUGUGGGAUGCAGAGCCCUGUGCUUGCCUACAGCACCCCUCUGGCUGGGACCCUGGACCCCCUGAUGUCCUCCUGCCUGUCUCCCAAUGCCAGGAUUUGCCCGCUGAGCCACCGUCAGCCUGGCCACUCUCCCCAGGCCGGUGCGCAGGGCGGAAGGAUGUCACAACGCCACACAGUCACGCAGAGGCCCUUGUACCAUCGGCUGCUUUGUUGGGAAGAGAGGCCCCUCCCCCAGCAAGGAGCCUUUCUUCCCCGCUCUCCUCCCCCUCGCCCAGCCCUCUCUGCUUCAUCGCUGUUCUGAGGAGCGGGAGGAAUGUCAUACAUGGCGCAUCUGCUUCUCAAUAUCGUGAAGCUGCAUUAAAAUAUGUGCUCUGUGGGCGUCUGGCCCCGGACAGAGAUUUACGAGGGUUUAUCUUACACAUCUGCAGCACGAGGCUGACAAGAUACACAUUGCGUUUGUUUUCGGGAGCAGCCCUGAACUGCUCAUGGAAAGCCAGAUGGGCCAGGGCCCCACGGCUGCUGCCCGCCCAUCCUGGUCCCCUCUGA
RNAcentral lists this long non-coding RNA (633 nucleotides) under Capra hircus (goat). RNAcentral's name for it is "lncRNA (ENSCHIG00010025813.1)". Lineage: Eukaryota; Metazoa; Chordata; Mammalia; Artiodactyla; Bovidae. The record is from RNAcentral.